Molecule: non-coding RNA, 326 nt
Organism: Camellia sinensis
Lineage: Eukaryota; Viridiplantae; Streptophyta; Magnoliopsida; Ericales; Theaceae
Source: RefSeq, a predicted model, not a curated record
CAGGGCCCUGCAACUCCUAAGAAAUUUGAACAUGCCAUAUCAUCUAAGAUUACAAAACAUGACCAGUCACCAAUGCUUCUCAAGAUGCAGAGAAGCAGCUCAAAAUCAAUUGCCCGGGUGAUCAUUCAUCAAGACAAGGCAUAUAGUGGUUGGAUUGGGUUGGACCGCGAAAUGGAUGAAGGAUCAUGGGACCGAAAGUGGCCUCAUGGUUUGGCUUCAGAUCAAUGUAGUCAUAGCUUUAGCACUUCAAAAGACUCAACAGCCCAUCAAACAGUUCCGAGCCCCUCUUCUUGAGAAGUUUACUCUCGAAAAAAAAAAAAAAAAAA